GAGCACGUAGGUGGGUUUGUCAGUCAGAUGUGAAAGCCUUCUGUUCAACGGAAGAAUUGCAUCUGAAACUACAAACCUUGAGUAUAGGAGGGGAGAGUGGAACUUCUGGUGGAGCGGUGAAAUGCGUAGAUAUCAGAAGGAACGCCGGCGGCGAAAGCGACUCUCUGGCCUAUUACUGACACUGAGUGUGCGAAAGCUAGGGGAGCAAACGGGAUUAGAUACCCCGGUAGUCCUAGCCGUAAACGAUGGGCACUAAGUAGAGGGGUUU
RNAcentral lists this ribosomal RNA (268 nucleotides) under uncultured anaerobic ammonium-oxidizing bacterium. RNAcentral's name for it is "partial 16S ribosomal RNA". It matches the Rfam family "Bacterial small subunit ribosomal RNA", at positions 565 to 831 of the family's 1533-position model. The record is from RNAcentral.